Molecule: RNA transcript, 1194 nt
Organism: Piliocolobus tephrosceles (Ugandan red Colobus)
Lineage: Eukaryota; Metazoa; Chordata; Mammalia; Primates; Cercopithecidae
Gene: ORAI2
Gene name: ORAI calcium release-activated calcium modulator 2
Exons: 4
Source: RefSeq, a predicted model, not a curated record
CAGGCACCCGCCCGCCCUGUCCCCACUCCCCACCCCUCCAUGCAGCCAGCGUCCAAUGCUGGGCACGCCCCGAGGCUCCCCCUGCCAAUCCCAGAGCUUCCCUUUUGCGCCCGGACCCAGGGGCAGGGAAAGCCCAGCUCGUGGUCUGUGGGUAGCUGGAUCUCCGAUGGGGCGGGGGCCUCGCCUUGACUCCCAGAGCUGGGGCGGGGGACGGGAGCUGGGGCAGGAGGGAUGCGCGCGGGUCAGGGCCUUCCCACCUCUCCCGCUCCUCUCCAGCGCGCGAUCCCGGGGUGGUUCCAGGGAAGGUACACCCGGGGAUGGAAGUGCUUGGACGCGGUGCUGCUGGCUGCGGAUGUGCAUGAGGAGAUGGGACGGAGAGCCCAAGUUGGCAUUCGUAUAAAUGCCCUGCCUGGCUCCCACCAUGAGCGCUGAGCUCAACGUGCCUGUCGACCCCUCUACUCCUGCCUGCCCGGAGCCCGGCCACAAGGGCAUGGAUUACCGGGACUGGGUCCGCCGCAGCUACCUGGAACUGGUCACCUCCAACCACCACUCGGUACAGGCCCUGUCGUGGCGGAAGCUCUACCUGAGCAGGGCCAAGCUGAAGGCCUCCAGCAGGACCUCCGCCCUCCUUUCCGGCUUCGCCAUGUAUUUCUGACCCGCGGUGGAUUGAAUCUGCAGAUGUGGAACUCAGAGAUACAGAGCGCCAGCUGCAGUGGGAAGCAAAUUAACCGUCUGGCGUGGAGCUGAGACUCGGGCGGAGCCACAGUGCACCUGCUUGAUUAGAUUAGCAUAGCGUCAAUUGGUCAGCUCAUUCUUCAGACUGCAGGGCAGCUUGGGAAAAAUAAGUGACAAGUACAAAUCAUCAGAAACUGUAGCUGAGUUGGGGCAGGGCCCUGGGAACAGGCAGAGGUACAGAUUGCUAGGUAGAGUUCGCCCUUUAUAGUGUGUCUUCCCUCAUUAGAAUUGCAAAGCUGUUCCUUUGUCUAGCAACACGUGCUUAUGCCUAACCUGAAGCUUAUUUCUUGAUGCGUAUUCUUCCCCCAACACAGAGAACCAGUGAUCUGAGGCCCGCCUCAUAAAACCUCUACACAGGCCAGGCGUGGUGGUUCACUGUAAUCCCAGCACUUUGGGAGACUGAGGCGGGUGGAUCACUUGAGGUCAGGAGUUCCAGAUCAGCCUGGCCAACAUGGGGAA